CCUACGGGAGGCAGCAGUGAGGAAUAUUGGUCAAUGGGCGCGAGCCUGAACCAGCCAAGUAGCGUGAAGGAUGACUGCCCUACGGGUUGUAAACUUCUUUUAUAAAGGAAUAAAGUGAGGCACGUGUGCCGUUUUGUAUGUACUUUAUGAAUAAGGAUCGACUAACUCCGUGCCAGCAGCCGCGGUAAUACGGAGGAUCCGAGCGUUAUCCGGAUUUAUUGGGUUUAAAGGGAGCGUAGAUGGGUUGUUAAGUCGGUUGUGAAAGUUUGCGGCUCAACCGUAAAAUUGCAAUUGAUACUGGCAGUCUUGAGUACAGUUGGUGUAGGGGGAAUUCGUGGUGGAGCGGUGAAAUGCUUAGAUAUCGAGAAGAACUCCGAUUGCGAAGGCAGCUUACUAAACUGCCACUGACAUUGAUGCUCGAGAGUGUGGGUAUCAAACAGGAUUAGAUACGCGUGAGU
Molecule: ribosomal RNA, 458 nt
Filed under: uncultured bacterium
Lineage: Bacteria
Description: partial 16S ribosomal RNA
Rfam family: Bacterial small subunit ribosomal RNA
Source: RNAcentral